UAACACCUGGAAACAGAUGCUAAUACCGGAUAACAANAGAUGAUGCCUAUCAACUGUUUAAAAGAUGGUUCUGCUAUCACUCUUGGAUGGACCUGCGGUGCAUUAGCUAGUUGGUAGGGUAACGGCCUACCAAGGCGAUGAUGCAUAGCCGAGUUGAGAGACUGAUCGGCCACAUUGGGACUGAGACACGGCCCAAACUCCUACGGGAGGCAGCAGC
RNAcentral lists this ribosomal RNA (217 nucleotides) under uncultured Lactobacillus sp. Its description in RNAcentral is "partial 16S ribosomal RNA". It matches the Rfam family "Bacterial small subunit ribosomal RNA", at positions 144 to 355 of the family's 1533-position model. The record is from RNAcentral. Lineage: Bacteria; Bacillati; Bacillota; Bacilli; Lactobacillales; Lactobacillaceae.